GCUGUAGUUCCGGAAGUACUAAUGGGAAAGACCUUUGCAAGGGAGCGGCUAUUGCCUAAGUACCCAGCAGGGGCACCCGAGGCACCUGAAGGUGACUGCUAAGGAAGUACCUGGUCUGCAGAAAUGGUUACCGAGGAGGGAAGAAUCCACCAUCAAGAAAAGCUCAAGUACACCAACCUUGGACAGCCGGUAAAGUAAUGCGUGAUCGGGUUGAAAGAAGGCUGUCACCCAGGAGGAGCAUGGAGUACAGGACCAGGCAUGAAUGCCAGAGAUGCUGGCUUUGAGCAGAGAAGACCACUCCCUGGCAUCAGGACCAAAAGCAGAGCUCUCGGUCAGUGGUUAAUAUCCUUCCUCCCAGCCUCCCCAGAGCAUGGGUAUGGAAUCUAGCAAUUCUUCAGGUUCCAGCUAAGCUGCACGAAGGUGUUACAAAAGGCCAUUUCUUCUCCUUGGAGGAGAGCCAAAAGGAAAAGUGACACACACAGCCUUCAUCCUGGAGUCAAUGAAAUCAUAGCUCACAUGAGCCUGCAAAA
Mus musculus (house mouse) is the source of this 530-nucleotide long non-coding RNA. RefSeq annotates it as predicted gene, 51643. The record is from RefSeq and is a predicted model, not a curated record. The transcript is spliced from 2 exons. NCBI's taxonomy places the organism in Eukaryota, Metazoa, Chordata, Mammalia, Rodentia, Muridae.